This 467-nucleotide ribosomal RNA is filed under the name uncultured bacterium. Its description in RNAcentral is "partial 16S ribosomal RNA". It matches the Rfam family "Bacterial small subunit ribosomal RNA", at positions 29 to 507 of the family's 1533-position model. The record is from RNAcentral.
ACGAACGCUGGCGGCGUGCUUAACACAUGCAAGUCGAACGGUGAUGCUCCAGCUUGCUGGAGUGGAUCAGUGGCGAACGGGUGAGUAACACGUUAGCAACCUGCCCCAGACUCUGGAAUAAGCGCUGGAAACGGCGUCUAAUACUGGAUACGAAACUGGCCCGCAUGGGCAUGGUUUGGAAAGUUUUUCGGUUUGGGAUGGGCUCGCGGCCUAUCAGCUUGUUGGUGAGGUAAUGGCUCACCAAGGCGACGACGGGUAGCCGGCCUGAGAGGGCGACCGGCCACACUGGGACUGAGACACGGCCCAGACUCCUACGGGAGGCAGCAGUGGGGAAUAUUGCACAAUGGGCGAAAGCCUGAUGCAGCGACGCCGCGUGAGGGAUGACGGCCUUCGGGUUGUAAACCUCUUUCAGCAGGGAAGAAGCGAAAGUGACGGUACCUGCAGAAGAAGCACCGGCUAACUACGUG